GGAUCCGCUGUAGUUUCUUCACCCUGCUUCUUGCCUUCAACGCCACCUACGCUCGCAGUGUUUUCAUUCUGCUUGCUGCUAUCCGCGUCUUCUGUGCCUUGUGGUGUGGUGUUCUCAACAGGUUUAGGAUCUGUCGCGUCCUCUGUGCCUUGUGUUGUGGUGUUCUCAACAGGUCUAGGAUCUGUUGUAGUUUCUUCACUCGGCUUCUUGUCUUCAGCGUUGCCUAUGUUGCCCAUGGUACCAAUGCUGGAAGUAGGGUCAACAGCAAGCUCCCUGAUCUUCUUCUCUUCAUCAG
Molecule: long non-coding RNA, 295 nt
Filed under: Zea mays
Lineage: Eukaryota; Viridiplantae; Streptophyta; Magnoliopsida; Poales; Poaceae
Description: long non-coding RNA (ZMAY_LNC004978)
Source: RNAcentral